This 344-nucleotide ribosomal RNA is filed under the name uncultured bacterium. RNAcentral describes it as "bacterial SSU rRNA". It matches the Rfam family "Bacterial small subunit ribosomal RNA", at positions 28 to 372 of the family's 1533-position model. The record is from RNAcentral.
GACGAACGCUGGCGGCGUGCUUAACACAUGCAAGUCGAACGGAAAGGCCUCUUUCGGGGGGUACUCGAGUGGCGAACGGGUGAGUAACACGUGAGUAACCUGCCCUUGACUUUGGGAUAACUUCAGGAAACUGGGGCCAAUACCGGAUAGGAGCUCCUGCUGCAUGGUGGGGGUUGGAAAGUUUCGGCGGUUGGGGAUGGACUCGCGGCUUAUCAGCUUGUUGGUGGGGUAGUGGCUUACCAAGGCUUUGACGGGUAGCCGGCCUGAGAGGGUGACCGGCCACAUUGGGACUGAGAUACGGCCCAGACUCCUACGGGAGGCAGCAGUGGGGAAUAUUGCACAAU